UGGUAAUCUUGAGUACUGGCUUCUGAAACUGUGCUUUUUGUCGUUUAGCUCUGGAGCUGCAUUCUCCUGGCUGCCAGCAGGGGGAGUGCUUUCCUGCGCAUUAACAGAAGCGUUCUCUGCCUUCCCUCCUUUGCUAUUCUUUGUCUUUUUAACCUUUUCUUUGUCCUGGGACUCAUUGGUGAAUGUGUUUGGGUCUGUAGCGGCCUCUAGUGCUGGCAGGGUGUCAGGGGGCAAGUCAGUGGGAGUGGGUUUGCCCUCAGCCUGCUCCUCAUUGGGGGUGUUCAUGUUUGAUGGGGAAUGUUUGCUGUUGGUGCUCGUGGAACUAAGGAGAAAAGGCAUUGAAGAUGGAAGAAGACAGAAGCACAACUGUUAAGACUAUUUAUUAGGAUUUUUUUCUGGAGAACAUAAAAAAAAUGAUGGAUUGAAAAGUGCAAGGUUGUGGCCUGCUCAAAUGAUUGGCAGAAAUGACAUGCAGAAGCGCACAGAGAGGCCAGAGAGAGAGUAUAAGGGUGGCUGACAGCCAGAAAGUCAACAAAAGCACAGCCUGGUAUGAUCACCUGCAGACCCCAGUCCCUCCCCCCACGGGCCUAUCUCGGCCCCUCCUGGGUUAUUCAGGCCCGUUUCCCUGCAGUCCAUUGCUCAAUUGCAUUGAUAACAGUCUGACGCAGCAGAAGCCAGGAUGCAUUGUCCCUCCUUCUUGCCGGCAAACCCGUUCAGCAAGGUCACCGAUCCCCAACUGGCAGCCCAACUGCCAGCUACAAACUGCUUCCAAAUGAAAGAAUUUCUCUGAAGUGUCGAGCAUGCCUGUCUGCCAGCCUCUUUCUGAAAGGAGGAGAGGAAGCAGGCCACCACGGAGAGAAAGUCCAGGCAUUCUUCCAGCAGAAUUCAAAAUCAACAAAGUAACAUUUCUACCCCCAUAAAGAACCUCCGCGAGUCAACAUUUGCACAAAGCUGAACGUCCGAUCCAUACUUACCCACGGGACUGGGGUGAAUGUCAACGUUAUGGUUAUGAGUUAUUUAUAAGAUCACAUAAUACCUUAUUCAUUAAACAUGAAGUUGUCAAUCUGGAAUGAGG
This 1075-nucleotide long non-coding RNA is filed under the name Sinocyclocheilus grahami. Its description in RNAcentral is "lncRNA (ENSSGRG00000045726.1)". Lineage: Eukaryota; Metazoa; Chordata; Actinopteri; Cypriniformes; Cyprinidae. The record is from RNAcentral.